AGCUACUGAUAAACUAUGGUUAGUGUGAGAGAAUCUGAGCAACUGAUAAACUAUGGUUAGUGUGAGAAUCUGUAGCU
Molecule: small nucleolar RNA, 77 nt
Organism: Ylistrum balloti
Lineage: Eukaryota; Metazoa; Mollusca; Bivalvia; Pectinida; Pectinidae
Product: small nucleolar RNA SNORD66
Exons: 1
Source: RefSeq, a predicted model, not a curated record